UACGAAGGGGGCUAGCGUUGCUCGGAAUCACUGGGCGUAAAGGGUGCGUAGGCGGGUCUUUAAGUCAGGGGUGAAAUCCUGGAGCUCAACUCCAGAACUGCCUUUGAUACUGGGGAGCUCGAGUCCGGAAGAGGUGAGUGGAACUCCGAGUGUAGAGGUGAAAUUCGUAGAUAUUCGGAAGAACACCAGUGGCGAAGGCGGCUCACUGGUCCGGUACUGACGCUGAGGUGCGAAAGCGUGGGGAGCAAACAGG
RNAcentral lists this ribosomal RNA (253 nucleotides) under uncultured bacterium. RNAcentral describes it as "partial 16S ribosomal RNA". It matches the Rfam family "Bacterial small subunit ribosomal RNA", at positions 524 to 776 of the family's 1533-position model. The record is from RNAcentral.